UCUCCGUUGGUGAACCAGCGGAGGGAUCAUUACUGGAAUCGCAAGAUCCCACAACCCUGUGAACCUACCGAAACGUUGCCUCGGCGGGUGCCCGGCCUCUGCGCCGGGCGCUGCGCCCGCCAGCGGCCCCCUACUCUGUCUCUGCAGCGUGGCAUCUCAGAGUCCCAGAAAACAAGUCAAAACUUUCAACAACGGAUCUCUUGGCUCUA
Molecule: unclassified non-coding RNA, 209 nt
Filed under: plant metagenome
Description: partial contains small subunit ribosomal RNA, internal transcribed spacer 1, and 5.8S ribosomal RNA
Source: RNAcentral